AGAAAGUCGUGUGAGGGUAGCACUCUCCUGGGCUGUUUUCCUUGACGUGAUGUCUAGGCCAUGAAAAAGGAACACACGUGGAAGCCUCAGGAGGGUGGAUCGUGGCUGGGUAAAGGGCCACUGUGGAGUUGGGCGAAUCGGACCUGCAGGCACUACAGGAGGCGGCAAGGUGAAGGGCCUCUCUCGUCGCUGUCUUAAGAGCGGGAAGUCUGAGGAGAGAGAGAGAGAGCAACUGCGCAGCUAGGCGAGGCGGUGCUGGCUAAGAGCAGGAGCUCAGUGGGGAACCGGUGGUGACUAUUGGUUCAGGGAGUAAGAACUACCGAUCUGUGAUAAGAGCACGUAUGGAGGAGAUGCACCAGAUGGCAAUGCUGCAAAAGAUCGAGCCAAUGGCCACCAAUUCAGCAGCCAGGUACUGGGAGCUGCCUUUUGGUUUUUUGUGGGGGUUUUUUUUGGCAUGCCUAAGUGUUUGGCACCUGCGUAACGUGGCUUUGAGUUACUGGCAUAGCAGAAGUCUUUUCUUUCUAGGUAGACAGGCACCUACUUGAGGUGGCAGGGAUCAUCCUCAAUUUCCUGGUGCCCUUUCAGUGUCUAACAUUGACAAAGAUCUGCUGGAUAAAUAAUCAUCUGAGUUUUCAGUUUUGGUGUUUUAGUCACAAAGACUCAUGAAUUCUCUCAGCUAUAAGUAGUUAUAUUCUAAUUAGAAUGGGAAGAUGACUCCUAGGAUUUCUUCCCUUGCUGGAGUCUCGGUCCAAACUCAGUAGUGAAUAAGGAAUAAAACCUUGUCUCUGGUCAGCAAAGCAUUUCUUUUCCCUUCUGAACAGAGGAUGAUGGCACGUGGAGACAGAAGGAUGGUGGGAAAGUGCGGCUAACAUUUUAUAUUGGCCUUUUUUUUUUUUUGAAUCAUUAAUCAAACUUGAGACCUCGUGCUUGCCAGACAAGUACCAUGCCGCUGAGCUCUAUCCCCAGCCCUGUAUUGGGCUUUGCUUUCUUUGUGGUUUUCAUUCAGUUCUGGGGAUGGAACCCAGGGCCAUGUGCAUGCUAAGCACAUGCUCUGCUAUUCAGCUACAGCUCUAGCCUGGGCUUUGCCAUUAAUACAUUGUUUCCUCAGCUGUGCUCCCUAUCCCUGCUGACUCUCUUGCCUAUUCUACGUCUUAAUCCUUUUUUUGUGAAUAACCUGAUUAAAAUUAAACUUAUGACCUUUAGAAUAACAGCACAGUACUUUUCCAUUCUUAGAAGGAAACAAAAAGAGCUGAAGUCGUAUUAUGACUUAAAGAUUAUCGCAGUACUUACAGAUAAUUUAAUGCUUGUAAUGUAAAAAGUGAUGGAUCUUCAAUAGUUUUCAGAGGAUUAUGGUUGAGAAUUCUGAAAAAUGCAAUGGGAUAAAAAUUAUCUGUAUUUUCAAUAUGCAUGGAAUUACAUGAAAAGUUGUUCUCUCUUUUGGUAUGAAGUGUAUUCGUAGGUUAAAAAAAAUCAAUUUCUGUCAUUACCUAUGAAUAAACCUUAGACUGCAGAAAGCACU
Long non-coding RNA from Cavia porcellus (domestic guinea pig), 1519 nucleotides. Lineage: Eukaryota; Metazoa; Chordata; Mammalia; Rodentia; Caviidae. The record is from Ensembl.